Sarcophilus harrisii (Tasmanian devil) is the source of this 695-nucleotide long non-coding RNA. RefSeq lists it as uncharacterized. The transcript is spliced from 7 exons. The record is from RefSeq and is a predicted model, not a curated record. NCBI's taxonomy places the organism in Eukaryota, Metazoa, Chordata, Mammalia, Dasyuromorphia, Dasyuridae.
CGCCAAGCGGGCUGGGCGGGGCGAGACCGAGGCCGGGGCACCUGUUUGCAAUUUAUAACUAGAUCCCCGGGACAUGAAGUACCAUGUGGAGGCCCAGUUGGUCAGUAUGGGUCAGAGACAGGCCUUGAAUCUCCCCAGUGGAGUCAGGAGAUAACAAUCUCCAGGAAAAUAUAUUCCAAGUUACAAACAACUGAAUUUCAAAUGAAGUUUUGGAGCAUCACCUAUAAAUUGGGACUGCCCCGUCCAUAUGAAAGGUUGAUGUGCUGACUUAACCUCACACUGAGGACUGAGGAGGAGACGUGAACGCUCAGAAGAGAGAAAUGACCAAAGCGGACAGAAGAUGGACUGGGGCCCUGUGAGCUCCAGCUGAGGAAGAUUAAAGGCAGAUUCUUCAAGACUUAGUAAGAAUUACCUGUUCUGGGUGUUCAAUCUGUAGCCGUGAUCUUGAGGUUCGUUUGGCACCGCUUUGUGGAGAAGAAGGUAGCUUUCAUUUAGUGCACCCGGCCCCUGUGCUCUCUUGGAGACUCCUGAUGACCCCAUUUGGGGUUUCUUGGCAGAGAUACUGGAGAGGUCAGCCGUUUCCUUCUCCAGCUCAUUUUACAGAGGAGGAUACUGAGGCAGGUGGGGCCCUGAUUGUGCUUCUGCCUUACCCGGCAAGCCCUCCUGUAACAAGCACGGAACUACCACAGGACGGA